GUUCUUGAGGUUGUUGCCACUGGAAAUGUGAUAAUAGAACAGGGCGAUCCUAACAGUUAUGGCUAUUCUGAGCGCCGGUAUGACAUCAACACAACUCGUGUUUACAAGAGCUCACCUGAAUAUGAAGCUUUGACGUCCAAAAAUCACAUAUUUACGCCACGUUACGGAGCAAGCUGUGGUGUUUAUUUAGCACAAGGUGUGAAGUACGUAAUUCUUGGAUCACCAUCCAAUGGUAGGAUCAGCGUAUACCUCUGUGACCCAGGACUUUUGAAGGCCGACGAUAUCAGUCCUGAGCAUCAAGGUUAUCUGGACAAUGGGUUUCACCAGAGCUGUGAUAAUUGCAGGGU
Molecule: long non-coding RNA, 347 nt
Organism: Liolophura sinensis
Lineage: Eukaryota; Metazoa; Mollusca; Polyplacophora; Chitonida; Chitonidae
Exons: 3
Source: RefSeq, a predicted model, not a curated record